RNAcentral lists this long non-coding RNA (393 nucleotides) under Rattus norvegicus (Norway rat). RNAcentral describes it as "long non-coding RNA NONRATT018680". Lineage: Eukaryota; Metazoa; Chordata; Mammalia; Rodentia; Muridae. The record is from RNAcentral.
CCACUGCUUUAAUGAUAAAGAUUAUGUGCUGAUGUCACUGUGCUCCUGGGUUAACGUCGUGGUUGGUAGAAUGACGGCCAUAGACCGAGUUGCCAAGCAGGUUGUGGUUUCCAAGGAUGAGAUCGUGUUCUACGACCACCUCAUUCUCUGCACGGGGCAGCAGUACCAGGUAAGGCUGCACGCGCAACAGGGGCACUGGCACAGGCAGGCAGAGAUCUCCACGGCAAUGGGCUUACCGGGGCGCAUACUCCGUGGGUAAAGAGCGUCUAGUCUUCCUGCAUGGCAGCCACUCUGUAUUCAUGAAAGUGCUCCUCAAGGCCUGUACACAUGAAGUCUGCAAACCGUCCCGAGAAAGCCAUUCCAAGAAAAACAUUCUGUUGAAGAAAAAAAAAA